AAACACUCCUGAAUCAUCCGAAACCCGAUCCGAAACACGCCCAACUCCAAAAUCAUCAUAUAAACCUAUUGGAGCCGUCAAAUUUUGAUUUCGAGGUCGGUUAAUAAAAAUGUUGAUUCAAAUUAAACUUGGUCAUCUUAGGCCACUAUUAAGGAAUCAAGUGUUCCGAUUUCAACCCGAAUCCUAGGGAGCCCAAUUCAACCAUCCCUG
Molecule: long non-coding RNA, 210 nt
Filed under: Nicotiana benthamiana
Lineage: Eukaryota; Viridiplantae; Streptophyta; Magnoliopsida; Solanales; Solanaceae
Description: long non-coding RNA (NBEN_LNC027654)
Source: RNAcentral